UUGAUAUCCUUCGUCAAAUCCUUUCCUUAUUUUUCUCAUCUUAUCCCCACGCCCACCGCUUCUGCUCAACUUUAUCCUCCGUCCCACCCCCACGUUCCUCCUCGAAGACGCCGCUUCGGCGGCCGGUUUCUAAGGAGGCAGAAGAGACCGUGUAGCCUUCAUCGAGAGGAGCUGCAGACGGUCGGGAAUGUAUGGAGCUGGGCGCCGGGUGAGAGGUACGCAGCGGCAGGUGGCGUUGCGUGGGCGGCGCGGUGGAGGACCUCGGAGCCCUCCUCUUCCAUGCCUUUCCCCAUCUCCACCGCUUACCCUCAUCUCUAUUCAUCUUUCCAUCCGCAUCUUUACCAGGGAGAGCUCCAUCCGUAGCCAUGGCUAGGUCUUCAGAUUGAACUUUAUUGAGCAGGAUGCAGGCGUUUCAGCGGCGUCUCAGCGGGGCGGCGCUGCGAGCGGGGCGAAGCCGAUCAGCCAGGAUAGGACAUCACUGGACGGUUCAGGAAAUCAGUUCGGCAAUCCACAUGGAAGGUCACCGACGCGAAUGAGCGUUGCCGCAGAGGAGGUCGUCGAGAAGUCCGUUCCGCCCAUUGCUGCUACUGAAGCGACCCUGAUGUGUAGAGCUUGCUUUGGAGGUCGUUGAUGGACUGUGGGGGUGGCGUCUCUCCUUCUUGGUCAUUAGUGCAUUUCUGUUGCUCAAGCGAGGUUGUGUUGUGCAACAGGCUGGUGAAGGCCUGCCGGCCACUAUGUUUCCCGUAUGAAUUAUUCAGCAGGUUAGUGUAAUAUGAGUACAUGCGGUUGUUCCGCCAGCCAGCGUCCUGCCCGUUUUGUUUCUCUUGCUACUCAUGGACUGCAGGGUUUCUCCGAAAUCUCAAAGCUACCAAUGUGACAGUAAAGAAAACAAAAGAUGACAUACAUAUUGAGCAGAGACACACUCUUUGCAUGCUCAGAUUCAGACAAGUGAAUGCAAUAUUCUUUCUGUUAUAUUCGAAAAAUUGGCUUCAGCCUGCAUGUAUGAAAAAAGGGAAUAGGAUGGAAGCAAGAACUCAAUGUCCAAGCUUUGAUUUUGUCUUAGAAAUCCAUUGUCAUUAUCAGGAUCAACUGAUUUUCGCAAAAUGUUAUGAUUGGAUUCAGGGCUUCUGAUUGUAAUCAAAGAUGACAUCUUGAUAUCCACUCUCCAUUCUACGUAAUAAUACAUUGACUCCGCUUCGAAGAAAAUACAUUGGCUCCUCUUUGAAGAAAAUAUAAGAAAUCGAGCAAGGGGAGAUGAACUUUCUGUGUCGUCACUGGAUACUCUACAUGCCAUGUUCUUCGUGCAGUGUCAAUUCAAGCAGCUUCGACUGAUGUUGUCGAAGAGAGGGCAAGACAUAAUCAUGACCAAGUUUGUAGUACAAUUGAUGUAAACAACAAAACCAUUGUAUAUGGUGUAAUGUAACAUGAUUGUCUUCCUUAAAAAAAAUUGAUUUUAAGAUUUAAGUAUAGCUAGACCAAUCAUGCAAAUUGUCCACAAACGGGCGCGGCGUGCGCCGCGCCGAGGGCUU
Non-coding RNA from Lolium perenne, 1529 nucleotides. NCBI's taxonomy places the organism in Eukaryota, Viridiplantae, Streptophyta, Magnoliopsida, Poales, Poaceae. The record is from RefSeq and is a predicted model, not a curated record.